Molecule: ribosomal RNA, 444 nt
Filed under: uncultured bacterium
Lineage: Bacteria
Description: SSU rRNA
Rfam family: Bacterial small subunit ribosomal RNA
Source: RNAcentral
AGAACGAACGCUGGCGGCAGGCUUAACACAUGCAAGUCGAGCGCCCCGCAAGAGGAGCGGCAGACGGGUGAGUAACGCGUGGGAACAUACCCUCCGGUUCGGAAUAGCUCAGGGAAACUUGGAUUAAUACCGGAUACGGCCUAGCGGCGAAAGAUUCAUCGCCGGAGGAUUGGCCCGCGUUCGAUUAGCUAGUUGGUGAGGUAACGGCUCACCAAGGCGACGAUCGAUAGCUGGUCUGAGAGGAUGAUCAGCCACAUUGGGACUGAGACACGGCCCAAACUCCUACGGGAGGCAGCAGUGGGGAAUAUUGGACAAUGGGCGCAAGCCUGAUCCAGCCAUGCCGCGUGAGUGAUGACGGCCUUAGGGUUGUAAAGCUCUUUCGCUAGGGACGAUAAUGACGGUACCUAGACAAGAAGCCCCGGCUAACUUCGCGCCAGCAGCCGC